This 369-nucleotide ribosomal RNA is filed under the name uncultured bacterium. Its description in RNAcentral is "bacterial SSU rRNA". It matches the Rfam family "Bacterial small subunit ribosomal RNA", at positions 525 to 896 of the family's 1533-position model. The record is from RNAcentral.
ACGUAGGUGGCAAGCGUUGUCCGGAUUUAUUGGGUUUAAAGGGUGCGUAGGCGGCUUUGUAAGUCAGUGGUGAAAUAUGGCAGCUCAACUGUCAAGGUGCCAUUGAUACCGCAGAGCUUGAGUACAGAUGAGGUAGGCGGAAUUGACGGUGUAGCGGUGAAAUGCUUAGAUAUCGUCAAGAACACCUAUAGCGAAGGCAGCUUACUAGGCUGUAACUGACGCUGAGGCACGAAAGUGUGGGGAUCAAACAGGAUUAGAUACCCUGGUAGUCCACACUGUAAACGUUGAAGACUCGCUGUGUGCGAUAUACAGUACGCGGCUUAGCGAAAGCGAUAAGUCUUCCACCUGGGGAGUACGCCGGCAACGGUG